CACACUGCUUAUGAUGUGAACAGUACUCCCUGGAGGGGGGGACUGCUGGGAUAGCUCUACUUAAAAUCCAGCCACACCCACCUGACUCAGGACUGAUUGAUGAUAAGAGGAUGACCUGGAGACUAGUCAGAUCAAUGCCGACAAUUAAAGGAUCAUUAUUAACAAGGCUUAGGAAGAGAUCCAGAAUGACUACCCUCUGACCUCAACUCCAGAUAAGAAAACUAAGGCUCACUGUCAAGGCAAAAAAAAAAAAAACACUGUCCCAGCAUCAGGGAGUGGCAAGGCUUUUGCAGAGCAAACUUCAAUGCUAGAGGAAUUAAGCAUCUUACAAACUCUUCUGUGGGCAGAGAAGAACUGACCCAAGACAGCAGGACAAGGUCGUGUUGGGGGAGAAACUCCAGCUGGUUUGAUGCAAGAGCUGAGUCGGUGCGUGGGUAGAAGAGACUGAAAGACGCCAUCUCCCUCCACGUGUUCUCUGGGGUUGGGGGGAGCAUUUCUGAAGGGCUUUCUACAUCAUCUUCAGAGGUCCUUGGAUGAGUGUGGGCCCCUGCUGUCCACAUUAGCAGUCAGCUGAGUAACUGUGGGGCUGAGGCAAUAGCUCAGUCGUCAAAGCGCGUCAGGACUGGAUCACCAGAAUCCACAGGAAUGCUCAUGGCCUACAUGGUGGCCUGACCUUUGUCCCAACUCCAGAAGGAUUCCCGGAGCAAGAGGGCUAAGAACAUCCACAAGCUCGGAGUUUGAUUGAGAGACCCUGCCUUAAUGAAUAGGGAGGACAG
This 776-nucleotide long non-coding RNA is filed under the name Mus spicilegus (steppe mouse). Its description in RNAcentral is "lncRNA (ENSMSIG00000012324.1)". Lineage: Eukaryota; Metazoa; Chordata; Mammalia; Rodentia; Muridae. The record is from RNAcentral.